RNAcentral lists this ribosomal RNA (1346 nucleotides) under uncultured bacterium. Its description in RNAcentral is "partial 16S ribosomal RNA". It matches the Rfam family "Bacterial small subunit ribosomal RNA", at positions 28 to 1381 of the family's 1533-position model. The record is from RNAcentral.
GACGAACGCUGGCGGCGUGCUUAACAUAUGCAAGUCGAACGGAAAGGCCCUGCUUUUGUGGGGUGCUCGAGUGGCGAACGGGUGAGUAACACGUGAGUAACCUGCCCUUGACUUUGGGAUAACUUCAGGAAACUGGGGCUAAUACCGGAUAGGAGCUCCUGCUGCAUGGUGGGGGUUGGAAAGUUUCGGCGGUUGGGGAUGGACUCGCGGCUUAUCAGCUUGUUGGUGGGGUAGUGGCUUACCAAGGCUUUGACGGGUAGCCGGCCUGAGAGGGUGACCGGCCACAUUGGGACUGAGAUACGGCCCAGACUCCUACGGGAGGCAGCAGUGGGGAAUAUUGCACAAUGGGCGGAAGCCUGAUGCAGCAACGCCGCGUGCGGGAUGACGGCCUUCGGGUUGUAAACCGCUUUCGCCUGUGACGAAGCGUGAGUGACGGUAAUGGGUAAAGAAGCACCGGCUAACUACGUGCCAGCAGCCGCGGUGAUACGUAGGGUGCGAGCGUUGUCCGGAUUUAUUGGGCGUGAAGGGCUCGUAGGUGGUUGAUCGCGUCGGAAGUGUAAUCUUGGGGCUUAACCCUGAGCGUGCUUUCGAUACGGGUUGACUUGAGGAAGGUAGGGGAGAAUGGAAUUCCUGGUGGAGCGGUGGAAUGCGCAGAUAUCAGGAGGAACACCAGUGGCGAAGGCGGUUCUCUGGGCCUUUCCUGACGCUGAGGAGCGAAAGCGUGGGGAGCGAACAGGCUUAGAUACCCUGGUAGUCCACGCUGUAAACGGUGGGUACUAGGUGUGGGGUCCAUUCCACGGGUUCCGUGCCGUAGCUAACGCUUUAAGUACCCCGCCUGGGGAGUACGGCCGCAAGGCUAAAACUCAAAGGAAUUGACGGGGCCUCGCACAAGCGGCGGAGCACGCGGAUUAAUUCGAUGCAACGCGUAGAACCUUACCUGGGUUUGACAUGGAUCGGGAGUGCUCAGAGAUGGGUGUGCCUCUUUUGGGGUCGGUUCACAGGUGGUGCAUGGCUGUCGUCAGCUCGUGUCGUGAGAUGUUGGGUUAAGUCCCGCAACGAGCGCAACCCUUGUUCACUGUUGCCAGCACGUUAUGGUGGGGACUCAGUGGAGACCGCCGGGGUCAACUCGGAGGAAGGUGGGGAUGACGUCAAGUCAUCAUGCCCCUUAUGUCCAGGGCUUCACGCAUGCUACAAUGGCUGGUACAGAGAGUGGCGAGCCUGUGAGGGUGAGCGAAUCUCGGAAAGCCGGUCUCAGUUCGGAUUGGGGUCUGCAACUCGACCUCAUGAAGUCGGAGUCGCUAGUAAUCGCAGAUCAGCAACGCUGCGGUGAAUACGUUCCCGGGGCU